AUUUAGUUGACGUGUCCCAGAUAUGACGAAACGCGCUUCACGCUUCCUAAAU
This is a non-coding RNA of Schistosoma haematobium, 52 nucleotides long. NCBI's taxonomy places the organism in Eukaryota, Metazoa, Platyhelminthes, Trematoda, Strigeidida, Schistosomatidae. The record is from Rfam.